RNAcentral lists this long non-coding RNA (4753 nucleotides) under Homo sapiens (human). Its description in RNAcentral is "HSALNT0332899". The record is from RNAcentral. Lineage: Eukaryota; Metazoa; Chordata; Mammalia; Primates; Hominidae.
AUAUUUUUGGAAGAAACAUUUGUUUUUCAAAAUAAAUUAUUUUCAGACUUGGCUAACCACAAGUCUGAAAUGUGCACAAAACUCCCUCAACCAUACAUAUAGUAAAAUAGAGGUAAAGAGAACAACAGAUAAUGCUGUGAAUAAAUUCUUCCAAGUCCAUGAAACAAAUUGGAGUCAAAUUUGAAUAAUGCAAUCAGUCUACAUGAAUAUUUUAGGCCACUUGGUUUAAUUCAGCAAAUUUCAUUGAACACCUGUUUAUGCCAGAUACAGUAUUAAGUAAUGAGGCUAUAGAGAGGAGCAAAACACUAUUUCUCAAAACACUAUUUCUAUCCUCUAGGAUUGUAAAUACUGUAGUUGGAAUAAGAUGGAGCCGAGAGAGGAACCAGCAUUACUGAAAACCUGAAUACAUCAUUUUAUGUGAGUCUCGCAAUCUCUCUGUGAGUUAGUUGUUGUUAUCCCCAUUUUUUAGAUGAGAGAACUGAGAUUUAGAGAGAUUAAGUAAAGCACCAUGAGACAAACAAUUCACAAAAAGCAGAGAUCUAAUUUUUCCCCCGUUCAUCUGAUUCCAAAGUCCACACUCUGUCUCCAAUCUUACCAUGAUAUAUUGAAUUAUACUACACUGUAUUACACAAUAAAAAAUAGGCAUGGGAACAAAUAAUUACAACCAACUACAAUACAGGUGAUACGAAAAAUAUUUGCCACAUAGAUGAAUGUCAAAGAAGAAGCCAUGGUCAACUUUGUUCUUCAGAAUAGGCUCAGAAAAAUUUAAAUAGGGUGGUUAAUUCUGCAGUAGAAUUUGAUAUUAGAUAGAAAUUUUACAAGUUGACAAAGGAGGAAAAACUACUCAGUGGAAACAUGCAAAAUACUUUCUUUACCCAUGUCAGGCCUCUGAGCCCAAGCUAAGCCAUCAUAUCCCCUGUGACCUGCAUGUACACAUCCGGAUGGCCGAUUCCUGCCUUAAUUGAUGACAUUCCACCACAAAAGAAGUGAAAAUGGACUGUUCCUGCCUUAACGGAUGGCAUUAUCUUGUGAAAUUCCUUCUCCUGGCUCAAAAGCUCCCCUACUGAGCACCUUGUGACCCCCACUCCUGCCCGCCAGAGAACAACCCCCCUUUUCCUUUACCUACCCAAAUCCUAUAAAACGGCCCCACCCCUAUCUCCCUUUGCUGACUCUCUUUUCGGACUCAGCCCGCCUGCACCCAGGUGAAAUAAAUAGCCAUGUUGCUCACACAAAGCCUGUUUGGUGGUCUCUUCACACAGAUGCACAUGAAAUUUGGUGCCGUGACUCGGAUCGAGGGACCUCCCUUGGGAGAUCAAUCCCCUGUCCUCCUGCUAUUUGUUCCAUGAGAAAGAUCCACCUACGACCUCAGGUCCUCAGACCAACCAGCCCAAGAAACAUCUCACCAAUUUCAAAUCCAGUAAGUGGCCUCUUUUUCCUCUCUUCUCCAACCUCUCUCACUGUCCCUCAACCACUUUCACCUUUCCACUCUUCAAUCUCUCCCUUCUUUUAAUUUCAAUUCCUUUCAUUUUCUGAUAGAGACAAAGGAGACACGUUUUAUCUGUGGACCCAAAACUCUGGCACUGGUCACGGACUAGGGAAGGCAGCCUUCCCUUGGUGUUUAAUCAUUGCAGGGACACCUCUCUGAUUAUUCAUCCAGGUUUCAGAGGUGUCAGACCACGCAGGGACGCCUACCUUGGUCCUUCACCCUUAGCAGCAAGUCCCACUUUUCUGGGGUAGGGGCAAGUACCCCAACCCCUUCUCUCCGUGUCUCUACCCCUUCUGCGCCUUUCUGGGGGGCAAGGAACCCCCAACCCCUUCUCCUUCACUCUUAGUGGCAAGUCCCGCUUUUCUAGAGGAGGGGCAAGUGCCCCAAGCUCAUAUCUCUGCGCCCCAAUCCCUUAUUUCCGCACCCCAACCUCUUAUAUCUCUGCGCCGCAAUCCCUUAUUUCUGUGCACCGACCUCUUAUCUCUGUGCCCCAAUCCCUCAUUUCCGUGCCCCAACCUCUUAUAUCUCUGUGCCCCGAUCCCUUAUUUCCAUGCCCCAACCUCUUAUAUCUCUGCACCCUGAUCCCUUAUUUCCACACCCCAACCUCGUAUCUCUGCACCCCAACCCCUUUCCCGCUUUUCUGGAGGGUAAGAACCCCCGAACCGCUUCCCUCCAUGUCUCUACUCUCCCUUUUCCUUAAACUUGCCUCUUUCACUAUGGGCAACAUUCCACCCUCCAUUCCCCCUUCUUCUCCCUUAGCCUGUGUUCUUAAGAACUUAAAACCUCUUCAACUCUCACCUGACCUAAAAUCUAAGCACUUUAUUUUCUUCUGCAAUGCCGCUUGACCCCAAUACAAACUUGACAGUAGUUCCAAAUAGCCAGAAAACAGCACUUUCAAUUUUUCCACCCUGCAAGAUCUAAAUAAUUCUUGUCGUAAAAUGGGCAAACGGUCUGAGAUGCCUGACGUCCAGGCAUUCUUUUACACAUCGGUCCCUCCCUAGUCUCUGUGCCCAGCGCAACUCAUCCCAAAUCUUCCUUCUUUCCCUCCCACCUGUCCCCUCAGUCCCAACCCCAAGUGUCACUGAGUCUUUCUAAUCUUCCUUUUCUACAGACCCAUCUGACCUCUCCCCUCCUCCCCAGGCUGCUCCUCGCCAGGCCGAGCUAGGUCCCAAUUCUUCCUCAGCCUCCGCUCCUCCACCCUAUAAUCCUUUUAUCACCUCCCCUCCUCACUCCCGGUCCAGCUUGCAGUUUCGUUCCGUGACUAGCCCUCCCCCACCUGCCCAGCAAUUUACUCUUAAGAAGGUGGCUGGAGCUAAAGGCAUAGUCAAGGUUAAUGCUCCUUUUUCUUUAUCCCAAAUCGGAUAGCAUUUAGGCUCUUUUUCAUCAAAUAUAAAAAUCCAGCCCAGUUCAUGACUCGUUUGGCAGCAACCCUGAGACACUUUACAGCCCUAGACCCUAAAAGUUCAAAAGGCCGUCUUAUUCUCAAAAUACAUUUUAUUACCAAUCUGCUCCCAACAUUAAAUAAAACUCCAAAAAUUAAAUUCCGGCCCUCAAACCCCACAACAGGAUUUAAUUAACCUCGCCUUCAAGGUGUACAAUAAUAGAAAAAAGUUGCAAUUCCUUGCCUCCACUGUGAGACAAACCCCAGCCACAUCUCCAGCACACAAGAACUUCCAAAUGCCUGAACCACAGUGGCCAGGCGUUCCUCCAGAACCUCCUCCCCCAGGAGCUUGCUACAAGUGCCAGAAAUCUGGCCACCAGGCCAAGGAAUGCCUGCAGCCCAGGAUUCCUCCUAAGCCGCGUCCCAUCUGUGCGGGACCCCACUGGAAAUCGGACUGUUCAACUCACCUGGCAGCCACUCCCAGAGCCCCUGGAACUCUGGCCUAAGGCUCUCUGACUCCUUCCCAGAUCUUCUUGGCUUAGCGGCUGAAGACUGACACUGCCCGAUCACCUCGGAAGCCCCCUAGACCAUCACGGAUGCUGAGCUUCGGGUAACUCGCACAGUGGAAGACCUGUUCCUUCUACCCAAGAAAGAACAGUUAAUGAAGCCACAUGAGCAUCCCUCCCUGCCAACAGGCAUCUGGCUCUGUGGCCUGGGCUGGAGUGCAAUGACACAAUCUCGACUCACCACAACCUCCGCCUCCCGGGUUCAAGCGAUUCUCCUGCCUCAGCCUCCCGAGUAGCUGGGAUUACAGGUGCCUGCCACCACGCCCAGCUAAUUUAUUGUAGUUUUAGUAGAGAUGGGGUUUCACUAUGUUGGCCAGACUGGUCUUAAACUCCUGACCGCAUGACCUGCCCACCUCAGCCUCCCAAAGUGCUGGGAUUAUAGGCGUGAGACACCACACCCAGCCAGCCCUAUGUUAUUUCUAGGAAAAGCCUAGCCCUGGGAGGGGCAGUCUCUCCCUACUCAGCGAGAAAUGCCAGGGUAUCAAAAGUACAGAAAAUAAGAAAAUAUAGUUAAUAUAAUCUGCCCUGUGAUGAGCAGAUGUCAAAUACAGAAUCUAAGAAAACAUGGAGCAAAAGACAUGGCUUCUUCGUGGCUGCCUAGUAAUCCAUCACAAAUUACACAAAAAUGUAUAAAAAUGUAUUCCACAAAUGACACAGUAGUUCUGCUUUUAUUGGAUAGUUAUCUCUUUGUAGAUGUUUGAUAUUCUAAAUAAUUCCUCAAUGAAUGGACAGAGAGGAAAAAAGAUAAAAAAGAGAAUUCAUGAAUUUACUUUAACUGUUAUAUAUAAAUAUGUGUAAUAUGUAUAAUUAUGUAUGAUACAAUAUAUAAUAUGUAUGUAAAAUAUAACAUAAUCAUAUGAUUAUGAUACAACUGAAUACAGAAAUGAUUAUACCAUUAUGAUGAUAUAUAAUAUUUGUUUGCUUUUGUCUACCUCAGGAAGUUAGUAAAGCAAGCUUAGAUCUGUAUUUACUGACUUCUAGAAAUGCCCACAAUAUAUUGACAUGUGAAAGAAGCAUACUACAGAAUAAUGCAUGUAUUUAAAGUUCAUUUCAGCACUAACAAUCAACCAACCAAACCCCUUUAGAUAAUAUGCUAUAUAUAUUCAUUUCAACAAGGAGAUAGGUAUGAAGGUACAUACCAGACCACUAAAAUUGGUUUCCACUGAGGAAUGCGAAGCAUAGGUAGAAGGAAGGCAGGGAGAGAUAAUUAACUUUGUUUUUAUACUUUUUCAUAUUGUAUCAUUUAAUGUAUUACAACAGAAAUGUAUUAGUAUAAUUUGAAGACAUUCAAUAAAUACAUUUUUUUAAAAAAGAUAAAAA